AGCCGGACAAGCCAGAGUAUCGGUUAAAACACCAAUGGUAAAUGUGGUAUAGGAAAACUAAACAAAACCGCAAGUCUCAAGGCAUCAGACUUCAUUUGGUAAAGAGAAAUUACAAAAAUCAUAAAUGGAGGAAAUGUUGCAAAUGUAAAGGACACAACGUGUACGAAUAAUGUCGUUACCAUUCUCUUAUCACAAUAAUGUUUAAAAUGCUUCGAACGUAACGUAGACGUUUGCUUGUCAUCUCUGGCGUAGAGCGAUAGAAAUAUUUUCUGGUUUCUAACAAUAAACUCUAUUGUUUUCAUCAGGAAGCUGCUAUAGAGAAGACUGAAGUGCCACUAAAUAUACGUUUAAAUAUCUUGAGAUGAAAUAAACAAAAGUCAAUUAAAAUAUCUAAUAUACACCGGGCAACAGUGGUAUGCUUUCUAAUACAAACAAUGUCAACAAUAAUAAAUGUACAAAACAAAAAUAAUAAUGGAAAACUAUAACAACCCUUAAUUUUUUAUGAAUACUAGUUUAAUUCUACUACAACAAUUAGAGUAUUUGUUAAGCACAAAUUUUUUAGUAUAUAAUAUUAUAAUAAAUGUAAUUUACUGCGGCGCAUUUGCUUUUUGCUA
Xenia sp. Carnegie-2017 is the source of this 614-nucleotide long non-coding RNA. RefSeq lists it as uncharacterized. Lineage: Eukaryota; Metazoa; Cnidaria; Anthozoa; Malacalcyonacea; Xeniidae. The record is from RefSeq and is a predicted model, not a curated record. The transcript has 2 exons.